GCCGUGGUAGUAGAUUUAAUAUAUCCGGUUUAGGCCCGGGAGAAGGGGUAAGACCCCCCACGGUU
This 65-nucleotide transfer RNA is filed under the name Glottidia pyramidata. Its description in RNAcentral is "tRNA-Leu". Lineage: Eukaryota; Metazoa; Brachiopoda; Lingulata; Lingulida; Lingulidae. The record is from RNAcentral.